This 1053-nucleotide ribosomal RNA is filed under the name uncultured Thorsellia sp. Its description in RNAcentral is "bacterial SSU rRNA". It matches the Rfam family "Bacterial small subunit ribosomal RNA", at positions 240 to 1286 of the family's 1533-position model. Lineage: Bacteria; Pseudomonadati; Pseudomonadota; Gammaproteobacteria; Enterobacterales; Thorselliaceae. The record is from RNAcentral.
AUUAGCUAGUUGGUGAGGUAACGGCUCACCAAGGCGACGAUCUCUAGCUGGUCUGAGAGGAUGAUCAGCCACACUGGGACUGAGACACGGCCCAGACUCCUACGGGAGGCAGCAGUGGGGAAUAUUGGACAAUGGGGGCAACCCUGAUCCAGCCAUGCCGCGUGUGUGAAGAAGGCCUUCGGGUUGUAAAGCACUUUCAUUGGUGAGGAAGGAUGUUAAGUUAAUACCUUAAUAUAUUGACGUUAACCAAAGAAGAAGCACCGGCUAACUCCGUGCCAGCAGCCGCGGUAAUACGGAGGGUGCGAGCGUUAAUCGGAAUUACUGGGCGUAAAGGGCAUGCAGGCGGUUACAUAAGUCAGGUGUGAAAUCCCCGCGCUUAACGUGGGCAUUGCAUUUGAAACUAUGUAGCUAGAGUUCUGUAGAGGGGGGUAGAAUUCCAGGUGUAGCGGUGAAAUGCGUAGAGAUCUGGAGGAAUACCGAUUGCGAAGGCAGCCCCCUGGACAGUGACUGACGCUCAUAUGCGAAAGCGUGGGGAUCAAACAGGAUUAGAUACCCUGGUAGUCCACGCUGUCAACGAUGUCGAUUUGGAGGUUGUGGCUAUAAGCUGUGGCUUCCGAAGCUAACGCGUUAAAUCGACCGCCUGGGGAGUACGGCCGCAGGGUUAAAACUCAAAUGAAUUGACGGGGGCCCGCACAAGCGGUGGAGCAUGUGGUUUAAUUCGAUGCAACGCGAAGAACCUUACCUACUCUUGACAUCCAGCGAAUCCUGUAGAGAUACGGGAGUGCCUUCGGGAACGCUGAGACAGGUGCUGCAUGGCUGUCGUCAGCUCGUGUUGUGAAAUGUUGGGUUAAGUCCCGCAACGAGCGCAACCCUUAUCCUUUGUUGCUAGCGGUUCGGCCGAGAACUCAAAGGAGACUGCCAGUGAUAAACUGGAGGAAGGUGGGGAUGACGUCAAGUCAUCAUGGCCCUUACGAGUAGGGCUACACACGUGCUACAAUGGGGUACACAAAGAGAGGCGAGCUCGCGAGGGUAAGCGGAACUCAUAAAGUACCU